GUGCUCACUUCAGCAGCACAUAUAUUAAAAUUGGAACGAUACAGAGAAAAUUAGCACGGCCCCUAUGCAAGGAUGACACACAGAUUCGUGAAGCGUUCUCUCUAUAU
Molecule: small nuclear RNA, 107 nt
Organism: Molossus molossus (Pallas's mastiff bat)
Lineage: Eukaryota; Metazoa; Chordata; Mammalia; Chiroptera; Molossidae
Source: RefSeq, a predicted model, not a curated record